This 954-nucleotide long non-coding RNA is filed under the name Macaca mulatta (Rhesus monkey). RNAcentral's name for it is "lncRNA (ENSMMUG00000055552.1)". Lineage: Eukaryota; Metazoa; Chordata; Mammalia; Primates; Cercopithecidae. The record is from RNAcentral.
CUUCAGGGGAGUUUGGACACAGCUCCUCUGAGGAAGAGGAGAAUCUACCUGACCCAGGUGUGCCAAGCCUGCCUCCUUGUUUUGACUCUCAUCUUUUCCAAGACCUGAGAAUUCCUCAGAGUGGAGCAUAAUCUGGAUAUGCUACCCUUUUCUCACUCCUGACUCCAUACAGACUGCCCAUUUCUCUCCCUUCCUUCUAGGAAGUCUUCCCUGAUUACCCCACCAGCAUCUGCUCACUUCUCUGCACCAUCAGCAAUCAUCAUUCACAGGUUCCUGUUGCUCCUGCAUAUGGUUCUGGAAAUGUGGGUUCUAAGCCCACUGGACUGUGAUCACUUUCAUGGAGCAUCUCUUUGGAAUGUCCCCAACUUUUCACCAUCUGCACCAGCUGAGCCAACAUCUCUAGGAUAUGUGAGGUUGCAGGGGAGGUCCUGAAGUCCCCAAGACCAGUGUUGUGCUGAAUUGGAGGAGGCAGUAGAGGGGAAUCAUAUGGGGACUGGUCCAUGGCUUCCUUCCUAAGAUCAUGUGUAUUCCAUGGGGCAGGAUCCCAGCCAGCUUGCCCAGCUGCAUACUCAGCCGUUGGUAGAGGCUCUGGCACUCAGCAUCAACUGAGAGAUUGAGACACUUCAGCUCAUCCCACCACAACUAGCCAGGUGAGCUCCAAGCCCAACGGCUAGAGCUGCAAGAGGACCUGGGGUUGGAGAAUGUGAAGCAGGGAGAGUGGAAACUCCAGGGAAAAGAAAAGAAACUCCAGGGAAACUCCAGUAGCCUAAGGCCCUUCUGUUGUAAGGCUCUGGGUCAUUUCUAACAGCAUCGGCUUGUCAGAAAUGCAGACUCGGACCCAUUCCAGUCUUGCUAAUCUGAAUAUGCAUUUUAACAAGAUCGUCAAGUAAUUUGUGUGCACAUGGAAAUGUGAGAAGCACUGGUGCUAUGGCCUCAAUGUUUGUGUCCCACACC